Long non-coding RNA from Dreissena polymorpha, 977 nucleotides. RefSeq lists it as uncharacterized. The transcript is spliced from 6 exons. Lineage: Eukaryota; Metazoa; Mollusca; Bivalvia; Myida; Dreissenidae. The record is from RefSeq and is a predicted model, not a curated record.
UGCAGAUUUAAAAAAACAGCUCAUGCUUAAAUGUGUUUUUGAGCAAGUGACUUCUUAAUACUAUGGCAGGAAUAAAAAAAAAACUGUUAUAAAAUUAAAAAGGAAGUUUAGUUACAUGUAUAAACUCACAGUCACAAGUGUUAACACCUGGCGCCGUGACCUGGAUGCAGAUUCUAAGCAGAUGGGCCAAAAUGGGGGCAGCUAGAGAGACUUGCCUAGAACUGACAAGCCUGGAGGGAGCUGGUUGACUGUUGGCGAGAUGGGACAACAGACGAAGAAUAAACGAACCUACUUGAUUUGAUAAACAUUUUUAUGUUUUUGCAGUUUCGUCGGAAGACGUUUCCCACCAACCAUCCUGUCUUGAAAGAAAUAACUUUUGAACCUGAUUAUCUGAUAUUUUCCAGUUUCCCCUCACAACAAUUUGCAUCAAACCUCUUGUCUGCUCCUCAGCUGAAAUCAUCAUCUAGCAGUCACAAUAGUUGAGCGGUUGGAGAGGCAUGCAUUGCGUCCUACUACUGCUCAGACUAUAUCAUGUUUGGCAGACAAAACAUGCUGAUCAAAAAGAAUGUGUACCACAGGGGCCAGUGUUUCCAUUUGAGUGAUUGACAAGAAGAAGAAGAGAUGAGAAAUGUUAUCAUCAUAUUUUAGUCCCUACAUUUAUAGUGUACAGCUCAAUGUAUUGAACUGGUGUUGUAGAAUAUAAUUGGAGAUACAUGCGAACAUUAUAACAUUAUAUAUAAGAUGAUAUUUCAAAAGCAAUAAGAAAUAAAAAGUAUAAAAAGGUCAAAACAGUAAACCUUGUGUUUACAGUGGACAGGUUUAAAGUGGAAGUGACUAGUUAACUGUUGAUCAUAAGCUGCACUGAUGGAAAAAAUAGUGGGAAAUUACUAUCUAGAAAACUGUUUAACGUACGACAACAGUUGUGGAACUUUAUAAAUGACCGUAUGUAACAGGGCUGGGCAGUUUUCCUUAUAUAG